GGUUGGUCCGAGUGCAGUGGUGUUUACGACUAAUUGAUCACAACCAGUUUCAGAUUCCUUUGUUCCUUCUCCACUCCUACUGCUUCACUUGACCAGCCUUAG
RNAcentral lists this Y RNA (102 nucleotides) under Propithecus coquereli (Coquerel's sifaka). Its description in RNAcentral is "Y RNA (ENSPCOG00000008078.1)". It matches the Rfam family "Y RNA". From Rfam's summary of the family: Y RNAs are components of the Ro ribonucleoprotein particle (Ro RNP), in association with Ro60 and La proteins. The Y RNAs and Ro60 and La proteins are well conserved, but the function of the Ro RNP is not known. Lineage: Eukaryota; Metazoa; Chordata; Mammalia; Primates; Indriidae. The record is from Rfam by way of RNAcentral.